AAUUAUGUGAGACAUUGUCUUAACAUCUUUGUUGCAGAAAAGGGACAUGUCUCUUCAUUCCAUCUCAACGAGAUAGAGGAUAGAGUCAAGGAAGCUUGGUGGAGUUAGAUUGCACAAUGAGGAGUAAAUCUCCCCCCUUGAUCAACUCUAUUCAACAAUAAUUCAGAAUUCCAUCAAUAUUUGUUGGAUACAAUAACUCAAAUCUAGGACCUUUCACCCUCGUGAUUUACAAAUUGCUGUUAACCAAGUGCAAUUAUGGCUCUUGGUACGA
This 271-nucleotide unclassified non-coding RNA is filed under the name Hevea brasiliensis (rubber tree). Lineage: Eukaryota; Viridiplantae; Streptophyta; Magnoliopsida; Malpighiales; Euphorbiaceae. The record is from RNAcentral.